This is an RNA transcript of Solea solea (common sole), 3372 nucleotides long. It is a transcript of the gene named zinc finger protein 64 homolog (mouse), with no coding region annotated. The transcript is spliced from 7 exons. The record is from RefSeq and is a predicted model, not a curated record. NCBI's taxonomy places the organism in Eukaryota, Metazoa, Chordata, Actinopteri, Pleuronectiformes, Soleidae.
GAGCAUGUCGUAAAGCCCACCCGCGUUAGCACCGAGUAAACAAGUCGUCGCCAAUGGCAGAUUAACCGCGUUAUAUUUCUCAUUUUUGAAUAUGGAUUAUUUAUUCUGGCUCCACGUUCAGCUGAGCAGGGUCGUUUUUUAUACCGUGGUGAACUUUGUGAAUGUUUUAGAGGAGCCAGAAGAUGAGUAGACCCACAGCAAUACAAGCUCGAAAAUGACAACAAACAGCAACGAAGGACACUCACUGGUGCUGGAGGUGAGCCCAGACAUCCACAUCUGUGGCUUCUGCAAACAGCAGUACAAUAAUUUUGAGGUCUUUCUCGCCCACAAGCAAAAUGGCUGUGCCUUACACACCGCUGACCCAUCAGUCACUACUGCAGCUCUCAAAGAUUCCAACACAGAGUUUAUUUUCGAGGAAACCUACCACACCUGUGUCAUGAGAGGUGUCAAAAAGAUCCUGACCAAAGCACAGAAAACACCUUCCAGAAAAUUAAAACCUACCCUGACUUCAAAGAGACACAGCUGCUGUUUCUCGGGUUGCACUUUUAAAACACAAUAUGGCCAAAAAGACAUGGAGCGGCAUCUCAAAACCCACACCGGUGAGAAGCCAUUUGAAUGUGAGCUGUGCCACAAGCGAUUUGGCCGGCGGGACAAGCUCAACAUGCACAGUCGCUUACACACAGGCGAGAAGCCGCAUAAGUGUAAACACUGUCCCUAUGCAGCAGCAGACAGCAGCAGUCUGAAGAAGCACCUCCGUAUCCACUAUGAUGAACGGCCGUUUAAAUGCCAGAUCUGUCCUUAUGCUAGCCGAAACUCCAGCCAGCUCACUGUGCACCUCCGUUCCCACACUGGGGAUGCACCAUUCCAGUGCCACCAGUGUGAUGCAAAGUUCAAAAUCAACUCUGACCUAAAGAGGCACAUCCGGAUUCACUCCGGUGAAAAGCCCUACAAAUGUGACUUUUGUGAUUACCGCUGUGCCAUGAAGGGCAACCUGAAAUCUCACAUUCAGCUCAAACAUGGCACAGAGAACUCCUUCCAGUGCGUGCACUGUGAUUUCAAAUGUUCCAACAAGACUGCACUGCGGCAGCACUCGCGAGAGCAUCAGCCCAUUCAGCCCAUUCAGUGUUCCAAGUGCACUUACUCCUGCUCCAGCAGGGGGGCGCUGAAAGUCCACGAGAGGAUCCACUCAGAGGAGCGUCCUUUUAAAUGUGACUUCUGCAACUUUGCCUCCAAGCAGCGGAGCAACCUUGUGAUUCACAAAAAGAAGUGCCAGUCGGAAAGGCCCGAAAAAUGCAGCAGUGGGAAAAGUAGCAGAGGUAAAAGUGGAGGAGUUGACUCUCCAAAACCUGUCAGCUCCCGAUAUCGGGCCAAACUAGAUGCAGCUCGAGUUUUCUGCUGCGACUCAUGUAGUGCUUCUUUUGUCAGGGAAGACUCCCUGCGGAGCCACAAGAAGCAGCAUAGAGAGAAAAUUUUGCAACUCCAGCUCCCUGUCCUAACCAAAACUGUCAACUUGGUUCCUGUUACAAUGUCACAGAGUAACACCCAGCUACAAGUUCCUAUUCCUUCUGACUCGAUGGCUCCUUGCAGCAAUGCACAGCUCAAAAUUAUAGUAUCACAUCCUUUGGCCCAGCAGAACCCCUUAAUAUCAGCAGGUGUGGCCAAUCAUAGCAAGACCAACAUGGUCCUUCUAAGCCCAGAAAACCAGGACAUGAUAGUAAACUCCAUGAUCCACCAGGUCAACCUACUAACUCCCCUGCAACACCUCGGGUCGUCUCAAACGGCUGACCCUACCCUUGAACCACAAGCUGUCCUCUUGACGCAGCUCAGUCCCGAAGAUGCUAACAACCCGCUCCACCAGGCCUUGCUGCAGACGGCUAUAACCACUCAGGACUCCAGCAGCAGCACACAAACUUUCAUCACCACCUGCUCUGAGCUGGAAGGCCUCAACGCCUUGAUCCGGGAGGGUGGCACAGAGGUUACAGUGUUGACUGAAGGGAACACAGCUAGGGUGACCACAGUGACACCACCUGAUAUGGCAUGUGGUCCACCAGAGGACAUGUCUGGAUCAGUUUCAGUUGAGGAGGGUGCCUUACCAUCUGAGGAAAGUGCGUUACUGGUGCCAAACAUUGGCGUGGGCAGCGGGAAUGUGGUCAUCCAUGGCGUUCCACUGAUUGUGUCCACUCAUCCACAGCAGAGUACAAUAGAACAGCUCUCUCCUAACACACUUUACUUGGAUUCACACAAACUGGAUGACAUCCCACUGUGAGGGAAUAGUUUGGUGUGUGUUUCUGAAGAUAAAAAGAUUGUAACUCCAUCAUAAGCUAUUUGUUUGCCACGCAAAUGUCUCUCCUGAUGCAGGCUUCUGCAUCUUGUGGCUCAGCAUGGCCGCAAACUCAGAUUUAGUUGUUUACCUGCAGUAAAGUUUCACCUCGGAGCUGGUUUGGGUUUCAGAAAGGUGAAUGUUAAAACCCAUAACUGCAUUUUAAAUGUGCAAAACACAAACCAGUAUGAUGUAUUUGGUAUCAUCUUUUACUUCAUGUUCAGUUUAAUAAAUAGUCUUUUACUCUGUGUUUUCUGCAGUCAUGGAUUGUAAAAUACAUUUACUCAAACAUAAUAGAGAUACCUAGGAUUUAGAUUAUAUGCUAAUGUUUAAUUUGGAUAGCCAUGACAUGAACACUGGAAAUAAAGAGAAAGGGAAAGCGAUAAAGGUACGAUGAACACCACCUUACCCAGCUGUGAAAAUACCUGCUGUAUCCUUUCAAAAUUCAGUUUUAAACAUGUAAGUUGUGUAAAAGGUAAAUUUAAAGAUUGCCAAUAGGCUAAAUGUUGGAGAAACCAGACUUACACUUGUUUCUUAGUUUUUACUGUUACACAUUGGUGUGCAUAAAACCUAUGCUAAUCUAGUUAGCUGUUGGAUUUAGCCUUGUAUGUCAGUACUCAAGAAAACAACUGUCUUACAGUUUAUAGUACUUUGACUUUUUGCUAAUUUAGCAUAUGUAAGAAAUGUAUGUGUUUUUCUAGCUAAUUUUUUCCAGCUAUUUUGACAAAUCCACUUAUUUUCCUUGUCAUUCCCUUCUGAUAUGACACUGCAGCUAGCAUUUGGAUAGCCAAGACAUGACAUGAAUAAUGGAAACAUAACACCCUACCUAGCCAUAAAAGUAAAUUAGUUGGCUUAGGUUUUUUUUAUUUGCAGUUAAUAAUUAUUCAAAACCUCUGCAACAUAAAAAACAACAACUUCUACUUUGUUUUUGGGUCUGGUCUGGGAUAAAUUAUGCUCUUGAUAAGUGCUCCCACAUUUGUAUUCUAAUCACACCAAAGAUCUGUGCUUGCUGUCACUAGUGACCCUUUUGAACAUUGUGUGCAAUUUCAGAG